RNAcentral lists this long non-coding RNA (406 nucleotides) under Glycine max (soybean). RNAcentral's name for it is "long non-coding RNA (GMAX_LNC000673)". Lineage: Eukaryota; Viridiplantae; Streptophyta; Magnoliopsida; Fabales; Fabaceae. The record is from RNAcentral.
AUAUUUUCACAGGGAGAAGAUUAUUAAUUUAUUCUGAACCACACACAUUCCAUCAUCAAACAUAAGAUAGAACUAUAAACAUGUUUAAAAUGGUUGUGGGCUUGCAAAAGUGAUUUAGCUAGUAGCGUGUGGUUGGUUUCUUUCUUGUGAUCGAGUUCUUUACAAUUACAACAUCAAACUCAGAGAGUGGCUGUGUGUCAGGGUCAGGUUCCUGGUCCAGGAUGAAUGGUCGGUCAGGUCGGCCACACUCACAUUAUGAUUCUGGGACAACAAGGGCACCAUGUCUCGGGUGCUAGUGUGUGCUACAUGUUCAAGAUAUUGUUCGGAUUUGUGGGGUCUUAUUCUGUUUGUUUUGCAUUAUUGUGAAAUUAUCAAGGCUGUAACACAAAGUUUGUGUGUAAUUGAC